AUAUCAGCUUACUACAUCUGUCUUCCCUCACCAAACCCAUCAAUGAUUUGAUUUAUUUGACUAUAAUAUAUCAGUUAUGGCCAACAGAGGGCAACAUUUAUCCAUAUAAUACGAUAAAACCUCACUGAACCUAAAUUAAUUGGGUUACAUUGUAAAAAAAAUUCAGAUAUCGUAUGUGAUCAGAAACAAUGCAUUAAUUUCCCGGAGUGGUCGCUCUGUGCUUUUGUAGUUGACGUCAUAAUGUACGAUGGAAUAUAGAAGCCUAUGACGUAAACGAACUCAAGAAAAUGUUUAGUGCGCUGCUUUUGCCUCAGUUGAGUUGAUGCUUUGCAAAGGACAGUCAUCCUCAUGUUCAAAUAAAUCACUUUGAGUGGACAAAGAAGACAUUCUGUUCAGGUCCAAUCUGAAGGGUGCCUGAAAGCACAAUGGAUAGAAAUCAUAAACCGUUGAGAAACAUUCUUCUAAAAGUAAGACUCAUAAGUGAUGAAAAAAUGUUUGUUCAUUCUGGGGCUAUCCCUCUUGAUAUGUAAUGAGGCUAUCUUCUUGGUAGUAUAACCUAUAUGCUGUAAAAAACAGAUUGAUAUGAUUUAUAGUUGGAAAAGUGGGCAUAAUUAAAUGAGGGCUAAGGUUAAAUGUAUUUCCUUAUGUUCAUAUACCCCAGGCUGGGACCCUCCAAGCUAGUGCUGGAGAGCAGGUCCUCCAGACAGACAUCACUGACCAUGAUGGACUAAGGCUGCCAGCCCUGGUAGACUGCCCCAUUGACAGCCCCCUAAAGGCUAGGACCCUCCAAGCUAGUGCUGGAGAGCAAGUGCUCCAGACAGAUGUCCAUUCCGCUGGCCAUGAUGGACUAAGCCUGCCAGCCCUGGUAGACUGCCUCCAGGAUAGCCCUCGAAUGGCAGAUGUCCAUUCCGCUGGCCAUGAUGGACUAAGCCUGCCAGCCCUGGUAGACUGCCUCCAGGA
Non-coding RNA from Oncorhynchus mykiss (rainbow trout), 960 nucleotides. NCBI's taxonomy places the organism in Eukaryota, Metazoa, Chordata, Actinopteri, Salmoniformes, Salmonidae. The record is from RefSeq and is a predicted model, not a curated record.